GCACCUACUACAUGCCAGCCACUGUGCUAAGCACCAUCUGGGCCUCAGUUUUUCCAUCUGCAAAAGUAGGAACUGUGCUUCUGAACAGGGAAACGCUGGGCCUCUGGGUGGGGGCAGCCUUUGGGGCGGGACUGCAAUUCCGUCAUUGGAACCCAGGGACGCCCCGCAUGUUUCCGAACGGCCUCCAGGGGGCACCGCCGCCCUGAACUGAGAGCCACCGGAGCCGGGUAGGGGGAGGCCCAACUUUCCGCUCUGUCAGAGGAUGAUGCCGAGGGCCCAGAUGAGCAGGAUUUGGACUGUGUUGCUGGGAACGGGGGCCUACACUGGCCCCAGGAUGAGUUCGUCCGUACCUGGGGGCCCUGGGUUCUGACUCUCAGGUCAGACGCAGCCAAGAUGCAACUCAGGAACUUCAAGGUUUCCGCUCCGGCCAAGAGCCCCAGUCCGGCAGGGGAAAGGGUGGGGGAGUCGCCCUUGCUCCCCCAGCCUCAGCCCUCGGGAGGCGCAGCGUCAGGGCGGGCGGCAGCACAGAAACCCCCCGCGCCGCUAGAGGGACCCUCGCAGCAGCUGCG
Molecule: long non-coding RNA, 569 nt
Filed under: Homo sapiens (human)
Lineage: Eukaryota; Metazoa; Chordata; Mammalia; Primates; Hominidae
Description: HSALNT0176685
Source: RNAcentral